RNAcentral lists this ribosomal RNA (411 nucleotides) under uncultured prokaryote. RNAcentral describes it as "bacterial SSU rRNA". It matches the Rfam family "Bacterial small subunit ribosomal RNA", at positions 505 to 918 of the family's 1533-position model. The record is from RNAcentral.
GUGUCAGCAGCCGCGGUAAUACGGAGGAUGCGAGCGUUAUCCGGAUUUAUUGGGUUUAAAGGGUGCGUAGGCGGAUCAAUAAGUCAGUGGUGAAAACCUGCAGCUUAACUGUAGACUUGCCAUUGAUACUGUUAGUCUUGAGGGUGGUCAAGGUAGGCGGAAUGUGUAAUGUAGCGGUGAAAUGCUUAGAUAUUACACAGAACACCGAUUGCGAAGGCAGCUUGCUGGACCAUUACUGACGCUGAUGCACGAAAGCGUGGGGAGCGAACAGGAUUAGAUACCCUGGUAGUCCACGCCGUAAACGAUGAUCACUCGCUGUUGGCGAUAUACAGUCAGCGGCUAAGCAAAAGCAUUAAGUGAUCCACCUGGGGAGUACGGCCGCAAGGCUGAAACUCAAAGGAAUUGACGGGG